GAGGGUCUCAAUGCAGACGUAAGCUUUCAUCUGAUUGGUAAAGAUAAAUGGAAAGUUUCCCCUAAAAUGGCCUGAGUCAUGAGGGGCUGGCACACUGUAAAAAAUUACUGAUGCAAAAAGUUGUACAAAUGAGGAAAUACAUGUUGGCUCAACAUAAUGGUUGUGUCAAAAAAGAAAAAUAUGUUUGGUCAAUGAUUGCAUGAUUUCCAUGAUUGUACUACAAAAUGUUCAUCAAGAGAAAAUAAAUAAUUAUGUUGAGAUAACUUUUAACGUUGCACAAAAAGUAUUAUGUUGGCCGAGCAAGAGAGAACAGCGUCAAUCGUCUGAGCAUGCGCAAAAGAGUUCUACCAGGCAGCGCUGCAGCAGGCUGGAGUCACGACAUUGCAUUGUCAGCAUUCCUGACAUCGCUGGACAAUCACACCCAGGGGUUGCUAAAGAUGUACAGAGCCAAAAGCAAGACUGGGAAGGUGGAACAACUUGGAUGAACUUCUGGAACAACUGGAUGCCCAGGAUACUGAGGCACUGGGGCCACACACAAAGGCCAUGAAAAUGAAGUGACUGACAGUUCUACCAACUCAGGACCUUAUCCCACAGUGGUCAAUGUGGCUGUAGUAGUGGAGGAGGAAGUUGUCAUGGACAAUCUGGGAGACUUCACAAAUUCCCUCAUGAUGUUUGUUUCGGCACUGGUUGAAUACUUGUGUAAUAUUUUACUUGAGCAUAACAGGCAAAUUCAUAUGUAUUUAAAUAAAUAAAUAAAAUGUUUUUUUUUAUCAAAGCCUAGUGUGUAAUUUAUUUGAAAUAAUGAAAAAUAGACUAUUUUGACCAAGAAUAAAUAUUUAAUACAACAUUUUAUUUCAAUUUGAGUCUGCUUGUUGGCCCAACAAGCUAUGUUUAGUCAACAGAAAAUAUUUAAUUGACACAACAUUCUAUUUCAAGUUCAGUCUACAUGCAGGGGUAGUCAGCACAACACAAAAAAGUUGGUUUCCGCAACUUAAAUUGGGCCAACUAAAAAUUUUAGGUGCAACGGGUCACUAGAAAUUUUUAUGUUGGAGAGGCAUAUUUUUUUUUACAGUGCAGUAAACUGAGCUGCUCUCUGUAUGAAAGAAGCAUGAGCACAACUUAACCACACACCAGUCACCUUAUAUACUUUUUUGCUCUGAUUUGGCCUUAUGAUCAAUCACCUGACCUGAAAUUUAACUGUACUUUAGAUUAUUUGAUUGAUAUGUUCAGCCGUAUCUUUGUUUCAGACAUGCAGAUUAUCAUCCUCAUUUGAGACAUUUUAUACUUUACAUUUUACACGCAAUCAGCUAGUCAGUUCAUGCCUGUCAUGAGUGUAUAAUCUUUUUAAUCAAACUGCACAUGCACAAUUCAUGAGAUUCUUUGUUUUAUUGUCAUAGGUUCAGUUCAGUAUAAACAUGUCAAAACAGAAACACACACGUUUUUCAUUCAGAGUGCUCACAAACACUUCACAUUUGCAACACAUCAUGAGACUCUCUCUUCC
Molecule: long non-coding RNA, 1501 nt
Filed under: Carassius auratus (goldfish)
Lineage: Eukaryota; Metazoa; Chordata; Actinopteri; Cypriniformes; Cyprinidae
Description: lncRNA (ENSCARG00000005590.1)
Source: RNAcentral